UACGUAGGGUCCGAGCGUUGUCCGGAAUUAUUGGGCGUAAAGAGCUCGUAGGCGGUUUGUCGCGUCUGCUGUGAAAUCCCGAGGCUCAACCUCGGGCCUGCAGUGGGUACGGGCAGACUGGAGUGCGGUAGGGGAGAAUGGAAUUCCUGGUGUAGCGGUGGAAUGCGCAGAUAUCAGGAAGAACACCCGUGGCGAAGGCGGUUCUCUGGGACGGUACUGACGCUGAGACGCGAAAGCGCGGGGAUCAAACAGG
RNAcentral lists this ribosomal RNA (253 nucleotides) under uncultured bacterium. Its description in RNAcentral is "partial 16S ribosomal RNA". It matches the Rfam family "Bacterial small subunit ribosomal RNA", at positions 524 to 776 of the family's 1533-position model. The record is from RNAcentral.